This 520-nucleotide ribosomal RNA is filed under the name uncultured Glomus. Its description in RNAcentral is "SSU rRNA". It matches the Rfam family "Eukaryotic small subunit ribosomal RNA", at positions 569 to 1087 of the family's 1831-position model. The record is from RNAcentral. Lineage: Eukaryota; Fungi; Glomeromycota; Glomeromycetes; Glomerales; Glomeraceae.
AGCAGCCGCGGUAAUUCCAGCUCCAAUAGCGUAUAUUAAAGUUGUUGCAGUUAAAAAGCUCGUAGUUGAAUUUCGGGAUCAAUAUGUCGGUCGUGCUUUUUGGUACGUACUGGCGUCAUUGGUUUCUCCUUUCUGACGAACCAUGAUGUCAUUAAUUUGGUGUUAUGGGGAGUUAGGACUGUUACUUUGAAAAAAUUAGAGUGUUUAAAGCAGGCUUACGCUUGAAUACAUUAGCAUGGAAUAAUGAAAUAGGACGUAUGAUCCUAUUUUGUUGGUUUCUAGGAUUGACGUAAUGAUUAAUAGGGAUAGUUGGGGGCAUUAGUAUUCAAUUGUCAGAGGUGAAAUUCUUGGAUUUAUUGAAGACUAACUACUGCGAAAGCAUUUGCCAAGGAUGUUUUCAUUAAUCAAGAACGAAAGUUAGGGGAUCGAAGACGAUCAGAUACCGUCGUAGUCUUAACCAUAAACUAUGCCGACUAGGGAUCGGAUGAUGUUAAUUUUUUUCAAUGACUCAUUCGGCGCC